This 460-nucleotide ribosomal RNA is filed under the name uncultured bacterium. Its description in RNAcentral is "partial 16S ribosomal RNA". It matches the Rfam family "Bacterial small subunit ribosomal RNA", at positions 338 to 795 of the family's 1533-position model. The record is from RNAcentral.
CCUACGGGGGACAGCAGUGAGGAAUAUUGGUCAAUGGGCGAGAGCCUGAACCAGCCAAGUCGCGUGAAGGAUGAAGGCUCUAUGGUUUGUAAACUUCUUUUAUAUGGGAAUAAAGUGAGGCACGUGUUCCUUUUUGUAUGUACCUUAUGAAUAAGCAUCGGCUAACUCCGUGCCAGCAGCCGCGGUAAUACGGAGGAUGCGAGCGUUAUCCGGAUUUAUUGGGUUUAAAGGGAGCGUAGGUGGGUAAUUAAGUCAGCGGGGAAAGUUUGUGGCUCAACCAUAAAAUUGCCGUUGAAACUGGUAGGCUUGAGGAUAUUUGAGGUAGGCGGAAAUCGUGGUGUAGCGGUGAAAUGCAUAGAAAUCACGCAGAACUCCGAUUGCGAAGGCAGCUUACUAAACUAUAACUGACAGUGAAGCACGAAAGCGUGGGGAUCAAACAGGAUUAGAUACCCGAGUAGUC